This 421-nucleotide ribosomal RNA is filed under the name uncultured eukaryote. RNAcentral describes it as "bacterial SSU rRNA". It matches the Rfam family "Eukaryotic small subunit ribosomal RNA", at positions 592 to 1018 of the family's 1831-position model. The record is from RNAcentral.
CAAUAGCGUAUAUUAAAGUUGUUGCGGUUAAAAGCUCGUAGUUGGAUUUCUGCCUGAGGCAGCCGGUCCGCACUUAGUGCGUGUAUCUGGUUUGGUUUGGGCAUCCUCUUGGGGAUCGUUGCUGUGCUUAGUUGCAUGGUGCGGAAUUCAAGACGUUUACUUUGAGGAAAUUAGAGUGGUUACGGCAAGCUAUCGCUUUGAAUACAUUAGCAUGGAAUAAUAGAAUAGGACUUUGGUUCUAUUUUGUUGGUUUCUAGGACCGAAGUAAUGAUUAAUAGGGACAGUUGGGGGCAUUAGUAUUUAAUUGUCAGAGGUGAAAUUCUUGGAUUUAUGAAAGACUAACUACUGCGAAAGCAUUUGCCAAGGAUGUUUUCAUUAAUCAAGAACGAAAGUUAGGGGAUCGAAGACGAUCAGAUACCAU